Molecule: non-coding RNA, 113 nt
Organism: Trichophaea hybrida
Lineage: Eukaryota; Fungi; Ascomycota; Pezizomycetes; Pezizales; Pyronemataceae
Source: the annotation of a GenBank genome assembly
AUCCCUAUGGCGCAGUGGUUAGCGCGCCGUUCUUAUAUGAGAACUCCACUUCUGUGGAAUCUUGUAUGAAAUACGAGAUGCGGAUGUCGAGGGUUCGAUCCCCUCUAGGGAUA